Molecule: ribosomal RNA, 268 nt
Filed under: uncultured cyanobacterium
Lineage: Bacteria; Bacillati; Cyanobacteriota
Description: partial 16S ribosomal RNA
Rfam family: Bacterial small subunit ribosomal RNA
Source: RNAcentral
ACUGAAAAGCUAGAGUACAGAAGGGGUAGAGGGAAUUCCCAGUGUAGCGGUGAAAUGCGUAGAGAUUGGGAAGAACACCAGUGGCGAAGGCGCUCUACUGGGCUUGUACUGACGCUGAGGGACGAAAGCUAGGGUAGCGAAAGGGAUUAGAUACCCCUGUAGUCUUAGCAGUAAACGAUGGAUACUARGUGUWGCUCGUAUCGACCCGAGCUGUGCCGAAGCUAACGCGUUAAGUAUYCCGCCUGGGGAGUACGCACGCMAGUGUGAA